GACUGCUUCCUGUGUUUAGGGGGCCGCCGUUCGCGUGAAGGUCUGGAGUCUCUGAGUUCGAGGGUUUGGAGGCGCCACCUUUUGAUCCUUCGCUAUGGGAGUGACGUGUGUGUCCCAGAUGCCUGUGGCUGAGGGCAAGAGUCUCCAGCAGACAGUGGAGCUCCUCACCAAGAAACUGGAGAUGCUUGGAGCAGAGAAACAAGGGACAUUUUGUGUGGACUGUGAGACUUACCACACAGCUGCCUCUACCCUGGGCAGCCAAGGCCAGGCUGGGAAGCUGAUGUACGUGAUGCAUAACUCUGAGUACCCACUGAGCUGCUUUGCCCUCUUUGAGAAUGGCCCUUGCCUCAUUGCUGACACCAACUUCGAUGUGCUUAUGGUGAAGCUCAAGGGCUUCUUCCAGAGUGCCAAGGCCAGCAAGAUUGAGACCCGGGGCACUCGCUACCAGUAUUGUGACUUCCUGGUGAAGGUGGGCACGGUCACAAUGGGGCCCAGUGCCCGUGGCAUCUCUGUGGAGAUUAAGACAGUGGCGACUGCGCUAAAACAUGGAUAGAUGCAAACAUGUAGGGCGGUUACGGCUCGCCCAGGACCACUCCAUCCUGAAUCCCCAGAAGUGGUGCUGUCUGCAGUGCGCCACCACCGAGUCUGCGUGGGCCUGCCUCAAGUGCUCCCACGUGGCCUGCGGCCGCUACAUUGAAGACCAUGCACUAAAACACUUUGAAGAGACAGGACACCCGCUGGCCAUGGAGGUCCGGGACCUCUACGUGUUCUGCUACCUGUGCAAGGACUACGUGCUCAAUGACAACCCGGAGGGGGACCUGAAGUUGCUGAGAAGCUCCCUCCUGGCAGUUCGAGGCCAGAAGCAGGACCUGCUCGCCAGGCGUGGGCGGACGCUGCGGUCCACAGCUGCGGGCGAGGACGUGGUCCCGCCACAGCGCACUCCUCAGGGACAGCCGCAGAUGCUCACGGCUCUGUGGUACCGGCGCCAGCGCCUGCUGGCCAAGACGCUGCGGCUCUGGUUCCAGAAGAGCUCCCGCGGCCGGGCGCAGCUGGAGCAGCGGCGGCAGGAGGAGGCGCUGGAGCGCAAGAAGGAGGCGGCGCGGCAGCGGCGCCGCGAGGUCAAGCGGCGGCUGCUGGAGGAGCUGGCCAGUGCGCCGCCGCGGAAGAGUGCGCGCCUGCUCCUGCACGCUCCCGGGCCCGUGGCCGUGCGCCCUGCCACCCUCGCUACCUCCCGGCGCUUGUCCGCAGCUGCCCUCAAUCCGCGCCGCCAGCCGGCGGUGGCCCCAGGUGUCACCGGCCUGCGCAACCUGGGGAAUACCUGCUACAUGAACUCCAUCCUCCAAGUGCUCAGCCACCUCCAGAAGUUCCGGGAAUGUUUCCUGAACCUCGACCCUUCCACCUCCGAGCACCUGUUUCCCCAAGCAACCAACGGGAAGGCGCAGCUCUCUGGUAGGCCAGCCAGCAGCUCUGCCGCAGAGUUGUCAGUAAGGAGUGUCCGGGCCCAGGGCUGCGAACCUCAGGGCCUCUGCUGGAGCAGCGGAGCCUCCAUCAGCAGGAGCCUGGAGCUCAUUCAGAACAAGGAACCCAGCUCAAAGCACAUUUCCCUCUGCCACGAACUGCACACCCUCUUCCGAGUCAUGUGGUCUGGGAAGUGGGCGCUGGUAUCACCCUUUGCCAUGCUUCACUCCGUGUGGAGCCUGAUUCCCGCCUUCCGUGGCUACGACCAGCAGGAUGCGCAGGAAUUUCUCUGCGAACUGCUGCACAAGGUGCAGCAGGAACUUGAGUCUGAGGGUUCCACACGCAGGAUCCUCAUCCCAUUCUCCCAGAGGAAGCUCACCAAACAGGUCUUAAAGGUGGUGAACACCAUAUUUCAUGGGCAGCUGCUCAGUCAGGUCACAUGUAUAUCAUGCAAUUAUAAAUCCAAUACCAUUGAGCCCUUUUGGGAUCUGUCCCUGGAAUUCCCUGAACGAUACCACUGCAUAGAAAAGGGGUUUGUCCCUUUGAAUCAGACAGAGUGCCUGCUCACUGAGAUGCUAGCCAAGUUCACCGAGACAGAGGCCCUGGAGGGGAGAAUCUACGCUUGUGACCAGUGUAACAGCAAACGACGAAAGUCCAACCCCAAACCCCUUGUUCUGAGUGAAGCUAGGAAGCAGUUAAUGAUCUACAGACUACCUCAGGUCCUCCGGCUACACCUUAAAAGAUUCAGGUGGUCUGGCCGUAACCAUCGUGAGAAGAUUGGGGUCCAUGUCAUCUUUGACCAGGUAUUAACCAUGGAACCUUACUGCUGCAGGGACAUGCUCUCCUCUCUUGACAAAGAGACCUUUGCCUAUGAUCUCUCCGCAGUGGUCAUGCAUCACGGGAAAGGGUUUGGCUCAGGACACUACACAGCCUAUUGCUACAACACAGAGGGAGGUUUUUGGGUCCACUGCAAUGACUCAAAGCUGGAUGUAUGCAGUGUCGAGGAAGUGUGCAAAACCCAGGCCUACAUUCUUUUUUACACUCGAAGAACAGUUCAGGGCAGCGCAAAACUCUCAGAACCCCAUCUCCAAGCUCAGGUGCACUCCAGCAGCAAGGACGAACGCAGAACAUACACAUUGCCCUGACUGGGAGGCAAGCAUCAAAACGGCCUCCAGGUCUCCUCUUGGGCUUGCCAGGAACAGAUCCCUGGGUUUGCCUCACUGGUCUAGGGGAGACAAUGCCCUAUGAUUCCUGCUCUGUCAAAAAAUUGGUAGUCACUUUCUUGUGAAACCAUGCAAAUCCCCUUCUCUCAUAAAAACACUAUAAAGGAGCAGCUUCUAUGAAGAUCCUUUUGUCAGUUGCUUCUGGAUAACAGGGAUCUGGGUAGAGGAGACAGGGUAAGUCAUCAGCCAACCAGGAGAGCAAGCAUGUCUGUCUCUGUUGUGAGUCCCCUACUAAUGAGGCCCUUCCCAAAGCACUGCACAGAGUACAUGAGGCCCUGGGCUGACAGCUGGCGGGAAAGACCGGUUCUGACUCAGGUGAAGUCACAGGAGUUACUCACACUAAAAAGGUAAUAUACCAUCCAGGGGCAUAGCUUGCAGACUUUCUUUUUUAGGAGAGAGCAGCUGAAGGGUGAGGGGCAAGGAGCAGACUUCCUCCAUGCCAAUGGGAAGGCUGUCUGUCAUGGCUCAGUUUCUCCUGAACUGCUGUCACCUCAUCACUCCACACAGCGAGGCCGAGGCUUGAGCCACCCCUUCCUUCAGAAGAGGCAGUCAGAAGGACACAGACCUGUGUGUGCAUGGUCUAUACGUGUUAUGCCGUGGACACUCCUGACUUCCCCAGUCCUGUAGCAAGGCCUGGGCUCAAAGUCAUGGUUUGGUUUAGAUUGGUUUUUGGAUCAGUUGUCAGAAGCCUUCUCAGAAUGCAGUGAAGAUGAGAUGAGCUUGUCUGAAUGCCUGCUGUCCCUAAGGCUGCCCCUAAGGUCCCGCCCACCUGUGUGGCAUGAAGCUUCGUUCUUGCCCCUAGAACAUCAGUGCCCACAGGCUUCAGGAGCUUUUACUGCCCUAGUGUGUGAGCAGUGCUUAGGGACUGACUGGAUCGUUUGCUUGUGGCCCUUGCCUGCUGUAUCCCAGCGCUGUUUAUCCACCUCUGCUGCUUUGUCCGUGAGGAAUAGAGCAAGACUCGUCUGUUACUCUGGUAUUAGUGAAAACACAUCUCUAAAAUUGACUCCAUCUCUAUGGGAUUCAGGUGCUCAGAGCCUUCCUCCCUAUCAGGCACAGUAAGCUUCUUUCUCUUUGCAGUGGCUACUGCAGUGCCCCACAGCCUCCCGUGAAUGCUCUCUUUUGGUUAAGUAGCUCGGGUUAACGUUUGAGCUCAGGCAGAGCAGUUAUCACUCAAUGGGGGGAGGCAACGGAGGCAUGGCCACACUUCAGGCACAUCUGUGGUAUUUACUGCUGUUCUCCUUUGAGGUGAGCUCUCAGUGGGCCUGCCAGACAUCAGACAUGGAAGAAAUCAGAGUGGCUCAUCCUGAUAGGGACGACGUGCUGGAUUCAAACAACACUGUGAGGUUUCUGUAGUAUUUAGCUUUUCUUUGGAAGCGAUACCGUAAGGCAUUUUUGUGCUGUUUGGUUUUUACUGUCUGUGGCAGGCUUUUCUGUGAGCUUUGCUCAGGCUCCUCCUCUCCUGGACACUGUUGUCAGGUGUCCCAGUUGCCCACACUGCCUGAGGCUCUGACGUAAAGCUGUACCCCUUCAGGGAGGCCGACAUUACUAGCACAGCAUGACGGUGAUGAUUUGUUACCACUGUAGGAAAGCCCAUUCAAAAAGAAAGCCAUGUGUGCUGGAACACUCCUGUAAGGCCAGCACUUGUCAGGCUGAGGCAGGAGGAUCAUGAGUUUGAAGCUACACUGUGAGGCCCUGUUUGAAAAACAAAACUAGCAAACUAGUGAAAAGGACUGGAUUGCACCUCACCUGAAACCCUGUGUUGUUUAUUCCAGAAAGAGAAUUUGCAGGCAGAGAAUACAGAUCUGCCUGUCUAGAGGGGAAACACAUUAAUCACUAUAAACACCUACAGGAACAUUAAAGGAUUCUUACCCAACUUUUAAGAAGAGUUUUAUAGCAGCUAUCAGCAGGACUGUGGCAAGGCCUCUCGAGUCCAUGAUUGUAUGAGGUCCCUGCUCUGGCUAUGCCUUCAGCUCCAUCCACAUUCAGGGGACGAACCAAUGAGGUGGACUGGCCGGCAGUGCCCGAGUAAGCCGAGAGGUCCAUGGUGAAGAAUGAAAACUUUGGGGGCGGGGGGUGGGAGGAUAUCUGAUAUUUGUUUUACUGAUAAAGCUUUGUGAACUAAUUUUCUACAAUUCAUAAAAUUUGGUGCCUUGUACUUGAUUGUGGUUUGCAUGAGAGUUAAGGGGAGGGCUCCUUUUCGUUAUGGGUCUGUAGUGUUUAAAGGAUACGUGCUAUCAGAUUUUUAGAGCAUUCCUUUCUUUGUCUUAUUACGAAUGUAAAUUGUUCUUACCAGCAAGUUCUAGAGUUUUACUGUCCAAACUGUAUUUGUAAUCAAUCAUUCAUCAAAUGUCUGACUACUACCACUGUUGUUCACUGCCUUUUGUUCAUGCCUAACAUUUAUGCUGGCCUUUUCUGGAGGGUGACCCUUUCUUGAAUGUCUAUCACAUCCUAUAUGGCGUUGCAGCUUAUGUGAGCAAGGGUUUCCGGUUAGUUGGGAGAGCACAAAUGAUGAGAAAAGGCUUUCUCUAAAUCACGAUGAAGCUAGGUGACCAAUGGCAGUAGAGUCUGCGUUAACACUGGGGUCCUUCUGCAUGAACCAUCAGGAAGCAGUGUCAAAACAAUGCGCACAUGUGAACCUUCAGACUGUAAGACAAGCCACUGUGUACUAUGCAGUGAAUCAUGGAGAAAUGACCCGUCUCCACCAUCCUCAACACUUCUCGGGCAGAUGACAACCUGGACAGUGCUGACUGGCUGAGGAAGGUAGUGAGACUCAAGUGUGUUCGUCAGGGCCAGUCCCAGCCAGUUCUUUCACUCCAAGCUUGAAGUUUCUGUUGAACUUGUGAGACUUCACCAAGUGUUCAUGAAUUUACCAUGCAAAGCAUACGCGGUAACUGGGUCCCUCGCUUCGUUCCUAGAGUAAUUAGGUGAAGAGUUUUAUCUUUGGGGUGAAAUUUUCUAGGGUCACUUGAUUUUUUGUCAGCUAAGUGUGGGUCUCACAGGUGGGUCAUUUUUGUCAAUACUAAAGCUGAAAAGCACCUUCUCAGAACUGUGAGCUUCGCCUCUCUUCUACAUUCCUCUGCUCUCCAUCCAGUCUGUCACUGUAACUAUGAUGUACCGUCAACCCAUGCUCCACUCUACACCAAGGCUCAGUAGCUAUGAGUCAGGGGGGUCACUUUGUGAGACCUGCCCAUGCUUAAGUUGGCAUCUUUCACUUAAAAAUACAACUAGCAGCUGGGGAAAUGCUCAUUGCUAGAGCACUUAGCACUCGAGGCCCUGGGUUUCACCCAGCUCCACUAAGCCAGCUUAAAUGAAACUGCCCAACCAGCAUCAUGGCGUCAAAGAACAACAGUAAAGUUACUUGGAAUUAAAUCUUAGGUUCUGAAUGAAGCUUCAGUUAAGCUCUGAAAGCUGUCAUGUCUUAAGUUUUUGUCUCAUCUGGCUUUUAACUUAAAUCUUGUCAUUAACUGCUCAAUUAUGGGAUCAUGGCACACUUUAAGGUUUUAUUCCUCCAGAAAUCAGUUGCUCUUUCCUAGUGUAGCCAAAAUCAUGUGGGUUCUAAGUCUCACACACUGUUUACAAGGCUGCUUCCUGGUCACCUUUUGGGGCUCUGCAAGUAAUGGCUUCAAACCCAAGCUUUGUCCUCGAGUUCAUACUCAUGACCCUGGCUCCCCAGCCCUAUUGUUUUUUUUUAAAAAAGGAAGUCUCAGUGUGUAGCCCUGGCUAACCUGGAACUCACUAUGUAGGACAGGCUGGCCUUAGAGAUACAUAGCUUCUGGGAUUAAGUGUGUGCCACCAGGCCUCCAGCCUGCCUCUUCAGAGUAUCUGUAAUCCCAGGGUAAAUUCUAGGCCUGAGUUCCCUCAUAGGGUGUUUCUCCUAGCCAUCCCCACUCAGGUCCUACCUGCUAAAGAUUCACAAGAGAAUGGCAACCCCCGUCCUAUGCAUGACUAGGCACGUGGCUCAGUAGGGUGCUUGCCUAGCAAGCAUAAAGCCCAGAGUCUGAUGCUAGCACCACAUAAAAUCAGGCAUAGUAAAGCCUUGAAUCCUAACCUGUACCUGUGAUCCUAAGAGUCGGUUCAUGGAAACAGCAAAAUAAGCAGUUCAUGACCAUCUUCAACUAUGUAGCUAAGUUUGAGGCCAGCCUGGACUACAGACCAGCACAAGAACCAGAUAUCUCCCCCUCCCCCCCCCCCCCCCGCAAAAGAACAAAAAACAAACACUUUUAAUUAUGCCUCCCCCAACCCCAAUUAUUUUCUGGAGGUCAAAUUGAAGCCUUUUCUGCAAUGAGCUAUACUGGUAGGCCUCAGAGAACUGACUGGAUGAGCUAUGUGCCAGCAGGUCCAGGAAAGCUGCUUUGUCUUUUUCCUUUUUUAAGUAACAUCUGUAACAGUCAUGCAGCUAUGACCCAGACACACUAAUCCUUUCCGACGCAUGCUGUGACCCACAACCAGUUCCAAAGCGGCUGGUGCAUAAAAAAAGUUUUAAAAUACCCAGUCAAUUGACUACAUGAAACUAUGGAGACCCCGUCUCUACCGCCACCUGGUUCCCUGGUACAGGAGUCUUUCUGUGCUGGUUUCUGCGUGCCUGGAAGAACACCAGACAGCAGCACCAGUGUGAAUUUCAGGGUAGGGAGCACCUUUGUUUGUGAAGGAAGCUGCUUCCUUGUGCUCCCUGACACGUUUGUCUCCACCCACACAUCACUGUCCACUCCUGCCACCAGGUCUCACUCUAUCCCAACAAUGCCUCCCUGGUCCCUGGAGAACCCACCUGGCAAACUAAAACGACAACCACCACCUUCUUCCUACAGGAAGACUCAGCAGUAGGAACUGCUCAAGAAUCAGCUUUGCGGCACGUGUGCAUCCCUGGGAAGUGGGUGGUCCCAUUCCCAUUUCAUCUCCACUGCAGAUCAUGUUUGGGGCUCAUGCCUGUCUCUUGAGUGUGAAAUACAAGUCAUGUUUAUUUGAUUUUUGUAAGCGGACUUUUUACACCUUGUUUUUGUAAUAAGUUUCUUAUUAAAAGAAUAAAAUACCUGUC
Molecule: RNA transcript, 7713 nt
Organism: Mus musculus (house mouse)
Lineage: Eukaryota; Metazoa; Chordata; Mammalia; Rodentia; Muridae
Gene name: predicted gene 20517
Exons: 9
Source: RefSeq, marked validated